RNAcentral lists this ribosomal RNA (676 nucleotides) under Klebsiella terrigena. RNAcentral's name for it is "bacterial SSU rRNA". It matches the Rfam family "Bacterial small subunit ribosomal RNA", at positions 74 to 744 of the family's 1533-position model. Lineage: Bacteria; Pseudomonadati; Pseudomonadota; Gammaproteobacteria; Enterobacterales; Enterobacteriaceae. The record is from RNAcentral.
GAGAGCUUGCUCUCGGGUGACGAGCGGCGGACGGGUGAGUAAUGUCUGGGAAACUGCCUGAUGGAGGGGGAUAACUACUGGAAACGGUAGCUAAUACCGCAUAACGUCGCAAGACCAAAGUGGGGGACCUUCGGGCCUCAUGCCAUCAGAUGUGCCCAGAUGGGAUUAGCUAGUAGGUGGGGUAACGGCUCACCUAGGCGACGAUCCCUAGCUGGUCUGAGAGGAUGACCAGCCACACUGGAACUGAGACACGGUCCAGACUCCUACGGGAGGCAGCAGUGGGGAAUAUUGCACAAUGGGCGCAAGCCUGAUGCAGCCAUGCCGCGUGUAUGAAGAAGGCCUUCGGGUUGUAAAGUACUUUCAGCGAGGAGGAAGGCGAUAAGGUUAAUAACCUUGUCGAUUGACGUUACUCGCAGAAGAAGCACCGGCUAACUCCGUGCCAGCAGCCGCGGUAAUACGGAGGGUGCAAGCGUUAAUCGGAAUUACUGGGCGUAAAGCGCACGCAGGCGGUCUGUCAAGUCGGAUGUGAAAUCCCCGGGCUCAACCUGGGAACUGCAUCCGAAACUGGCAGGCUAGAGUCUUGUAGAGGGGGGUAGAAUUCCAGGUGUAGCGGUGAAAUGCGUAGAGAUCUGGAGGAAUACCGGUGGCGAAGGCGGCCCCCUGGACAAAGACUGAC